ACGAGUUUGAUCAGUGGCUCAGAGCGAACGCUAGCGGCGGGCUUAACACAUGCAAGUCGAGCGGAGAGCUUCGGCUCUCAGCGGCGAACGGGUGAGUAACACGUAGGUCACGUACCCUUUGAUGGGGAAUAACCUAGGGAAACCUGGGCUAAUACCGCAUAUGUCCUUCGGGAUGAAAGCCUUCGGGCGUCAGAGGAUCGGCCUGCGGCCCAUUAUUUAAUCCUAGUUGGUAGGGUAAUGGCCUACCAAGGGUACGAUGGGUAGCUGGUCUGAGAGGAUGAUCAGCCACACUGGAACUGAGACACGGUUCAGACUCCUACGGGAGGCAGCAGUGGGGAAUAUUGGACAAUGGGCGAAAGCCUGAUCCAGCCACGCCGCGUGGGUGAUGAAGGCCUUCGGGUUGUAAAGCCCUGUCGGGAGGGACGAAUCAAUGACGGUACCUCCCAAGAAAGCACCGGCUAACUCCGUG
RNAcentral lists this ribosomal RNA (469 nucleotides) under uncultured bacterium. RNAcentral describes it as "bacterial SSU rRNA". It matches the Rfam family "Bacterial small subunit ribosomal RNA", at positions 1 to 507 of the family's 1533-position model. The record is from RNAcentral.